RNAcentral lists this unclassified non-coding RNA (607 nucleotides) under Hevea brasiliensis (rubber tree). The record is from RNAcentral. Lineage: Eukaryota; Viridiplantae; Streptophyta; Magnoliopsida; Malpighiales; Euphorbiaceae.
GCACAUUUAAAAUUUUGAAAAAAUAAAUAAAUAAAAUUAUACUUUAGAUAAAAGAAAUAAAACAUGCAAAAAAUGGAUUUUUUUUCUAUGCAUAUUACAAAAAUUGUUAAUAAAGAAUUUGGUUUUAUAUUAUCAGUUACUUUACGAAUAGAGAUGCUAUUUCAACAUAAUUUUCAUGAUGUUGCUCAAAAUAGUACUAAAAUGAAAAAAGAUGGAACUUCAUGUUACUAAAAUAACCCAAAAAAAUUACUCUAUAUCUAAGUGUCAAACCCUCUAAACCACAUGUUACAUUUCUAAACUUUUACACUAACAAACUAAAAUUUUAGAUUAUCCACAUCCUGUAAAAAUAUUUUCUAAUUAAUAAAAUCUCAAUUUAUACUAAUUACUAAACAUAAAAUUCUAGUACAUACUACUUAAGUUCUAAAGUAACCAAUACAGCAAAUCCUAGUUUAAUAGCAUCAAGGUAAUUGAUUCAUUUAAAUGUCAACAAACCAGCCUUAAAAUUUGAAAUUUUAACAGCAGUGGCAGGACCAACCACUUUAAGCACAUACCCCAAACUACGAUUAGAUCAUUUUAUAAAAAUAUUAUAAUUGUCAUGAUAUAAUCA